GAUGAACGCUGGCGGCGUGCCUAAUACAUGCAAGUCGAGCGAACAGACGAGGAGCUUGCUCCUUUGACGUUAGCGGCGGACGGGUGAGUAACACGUAGGUAACCUACCUAUAAGACUGGGAUAACUUCGGGAAACCGGAGCUAAUACCGGAUAAUAUUUCGAACCGCAUGGUUCGAUAGUGAAAGAUGGCUUUGCUAUCACUUAUAGAUGGACCUGCGCCGUAUUAGCUAGUUGGUAAGGUAACGGCUUACCAAGGCAACGAUACGUAGCCGACCUGAGAGGGUGAUCGGCCACACUGGAACUGAGACACGGUCCAGACUCCUACGGGAGGCAGCAGUAGGGAAUCUUCCGCAAUGGGCGAAAGCCUGACGGAGCAACGCCGCGUGAGUGUUGAAGGUCUUCGGAUCGUAAAACUCUGUUAUUAGGGAAGAACAAACGUGUAAGUAACUGUGCACGUCUUGACGGUACCUAAUCAGAAAGCCACGGCUAACUACGUG
This 497-nucleotide ribosomal RNA is filed under the name uncultured bacterium. RNAcentral's name for it is "partial 16S ribosomal RNA". It matches the Rfam family "Bacterial small subunit ribosomal RNA", at positions 28 to 507 of the family's 1533-position model. The record is from RNAcentral.